Molecule: ribosomal RNA, 433 nt
Filed under: uncultured bacterium
Lineage: Bacteria
Description: partial 16S ribosomal RNA
Rfam family: Bacterial small subunit ribosomal RNA
Source: RNAcentral
AACGAACGCUGGCGGCAUGCCUAACACAUGCAAGUCGAACGAGACCUUCCUGUCUAGUGGCGCACGUGUGCUUAACGCGUGGGAACCUGCCCUUAGGUUCGGAAUAACUCCCCGAAAGGUGUCCUAAUACCGGUUAAUGUCUUCCCACCAAAGAUUUAUCGCCGUUGGAUGGGCCCGCGUUGGAUUAGCUAGUUGGUAGGGUAAAAGCCUAGCAAGGCGACGAUCCAGAGCUGGUCGGAGAGGAUGAUCAGCCACACUUGGAAUGAGACACGGCCCAGACUCGUAGGGAGGGGAGCAGUGGGGAAUAUUGGACGAUGGGCGAAAGCCUAACCAAGCCAUGCCGCGUGAGUGAGGAAGGCCGUAGGGUUGUAAAGCCCUUUUACCCGAGAUGAUAAUGACAGUAACGGGAGAAGAAGCACCGGCUAACUACGUG